This 2912-nucleotide ribosomal RNA is filed under the name Staphylococcus aureus M44987. Its description in RNAcentral is "bacterial LSU rRNA". It matches the Rfam family "Bacterial large subunit ribosomal RNA". Lineage: Bacteria; Bacillati; Bacillota; Bacilli; Caryophanales; Staphylococcaceae. The record is from RNAcentral.
UUAAGUUAUUAAGGGCGCACGGUGGAUGCCUUGGCACUAGAAGCCGAUGAAGGACGUUACUAACGACGAUAUGCUUUGGGGAGCUGUAAGUAAGCUUUGAUCCAGAGAUUUCCGAAUGGGGAAACCCAGCAUGAGUUAUGUCAUGUUAUCGAUAUGUGAAUACAUAGCAUAUCAGAAGGCACACCCGGAGAACUGAAACAUCUUAGUACCCGGAGGAAGAGAAAGAAAAUUCGAUUCCCUUAGUAGCGGCGAGCGAAACGGGAAGAGCCCAAACCAACAAGCUUGCUUGUUGGGGUUGUAGGACACUCUAUACGGAGUUACAAAGGACGACAUUAGACGAAUCAUCUGGAAAGAUGAAUCAAAGAAGGUAAUAAUCCUGUAGUCGAAAAUGUUGUCUCUCUUGAGUGGAUCCUGAGUACGACGGAGCACGUGAAAUUCCGUCGGAAUCUGGGAGGACCAUCUCCUAAGGCUAAAUACUCUCUAGUGACCGAUAGUGAACCAGUACCGUGAGGGAAAGGUGAAAAGCACCCCGGAAGGGGAGUGAAAUAGAACCUGAAACCGUGUGCUUACAAGUAGUCAGAGCCCGUUAAUGGGUGAUGGCGUGCCUUUUGUAGAAUGAACCGGCGAGUUACGAUUUGAUGCAAGGUUAAGCAGUAAAUGUGGAGCCGUAGCGAAAGCGAGUCUGAAUAGGGCGUUUAGUAUUUGGUCGUAGACCCGAAACCAGGUGAUCUACCCUUGGUCAGGUUGAAGUUCAGGUAACACUGAAUGGAGGACCGAACCGACUUACGUUGAAAAGUGAGCGGAUGAACUGAGGGUAGCGGAGAAAUUCCAAUCGAACCUGGAGAUAGCUGGUUCUCUCCGAAAUAGCUUUAGGGCUAGCCUCAAGUGAUGAUUAUUGGAGGUAGAGCACUGUUUGGACGAGGGGCCCCUCUCGGGUUACCGAAUUCAGACAAACUCCGAAUGCCAAUUAAUUUAACUUGGGAGUCAGAACAUGGGUGAUAAGGUCCGUGUUCGAAAGGGAAACAGCCCAGACCACCAGCUAAGGUCCCAAAAUAUAUGUUAAGUGGAAAAGGAUGUGGCGUUGCCCAGACAACUAGGAUGUUGGCUUAGAAGCAGCCAUCAUUUAAAGAGUGCGUAAUAGCUCACUAGUCGAGUGACACUGCGCCGAAAAUGUACCGGGGCUAAACAUAUUACCGAAGCUGUGGAUUGUCCUUUGGACAAUGGUAGGAGAGCGUUCUAAGGGCGUUGAAGCAUGAUCGUAAGGACAUGUGGAGCGCUUAGAAGUGAGAAUGCCGGUGUGAGUAGCGAAAGACGGGUGAGAAUCCCGUCCACCGAUUGACUAAGGUUUCCAGAGGAAGGCUCGUCCGCUCUGGGUUAGUCGGGUCCUAAGCUGAGGCCGACAGGCGUAGGCGAUGGAUAACAGGUUGAUAUUCCUGUACCACCUAUAAUCGUUUUAAUCGAUGGGGGGACGCAGUAGGAUAGGCGAAGCGUGCGAUUGGAUUGCACGUCUAAGCAGUAAGGCUGAGUAUUAGGCAAAUCCGGUACUCGUUAAGGCUGAGCUGUGAUGGGGAGAAGACAUUGUGUCUUCGAGUCGUUGAUUUCACACUGCCGAGAAAAGCCUCUAGAUAGAAAAUAGGUGCCCGUACCGCAAACCGACACAGGUAGUCAAGAUGAGAAUUCUAAGGUGAGCGAGCGAACUCUCGUUAAGGAACUCGGCAAAAUGACCCCGUAACUUCGGGAGAAGGGGUGCUCUUUAGGGUUAACGCCCAGAAGAGCCGCAGUGAAUAGGCCCAAGCGACUGUUUAUCAAAAACACAGGUCUCUGCUAAACCGUAAGGUGAUGUAUAGGGGCUGACGCCUGCCCGGUGCUGGAAGGUUAAGAGGAGUGGUUAGCUUCUGCGAAGCUACGAAUCGAAGCCCCAGUAAACGGCGGCCGUAACUAUAACGGUCCUAAGGUAGCGAAAUUCCUUGUCGGGUAAGUUCCGACCCGCACGAAAGGCGUAACGAUUUGGGCACUGUCUCAACGAGAGACUCGGUGAAAUCAUAGUACCUGUGAAGAUGCAGGUUACCCGCGACAGGACGGAAAGACCCCGUGGAGCUUUACUGUAGCCUGAUAUUGAAAUUCGGCACAGCUUGUACAGGAUAGGUAGGAGCCUUUGAAACGUGAGCGCUAGCUUACGUGGAGGCGCUGGUGGGAUACUACCCUAGCUGUGUUGGCUUUCUAACCCGCACCACUUAUCGUGGUGGGAGACAGUGUCAGGCGGGCAGUUUGACUGGGGCGGUCGCCUCCUAAAAGGUAACGGAGGCGCUCAAAGGUUCCCUCAGAAUGGUUGGAAAUCAUUCAUAGAGUGUAAAGGCAUAAGGGAGCUUGACUGCGAGACCUACAAGUCGAGCAGGGUCGAAAGACGGACUUAGUGAUCCGGUGGUUCCGCAUGGAAGGGCCAUCGCUCAACGGAUAAAAGCUACCCCGGGGAUAACAGGCUUAUCUCCCCCAAGAGUUCACAUCGACGGGGAGGUUUGGCACCUCGAUGUCGGCUCAUCGCAUCCUGGGGCUGUAGUCGGUCCCAAGGGUUGGGCUGUUCGCCCAUUAAAGCGGUACGCGAGCUGGGUUCAGAACGUCGUGAGACAGUUCGGUCCCUAUCCGUCGUGGGCGUAGGAAAUUUGAGAGGAGCUGUCCUUAGUACGAGAGGACCGGGAUGGACAUACCUCUGGUGUACCAGUUGUCGUGCCAACGGCAUAGCUGGGUAGCUAUGUGUGGACGGGAUAAGUGCUGAAAGCAUCUAAGCAUGAAGCCCCCCUCAAGAUGAGAUUUCCCAACUUCGGUUAUAAGAUCCCUCAAAGAUGAUGAGGUUAAUAGGUUCGAGGUGGAAGCAUGGUGACAUGUGGAGCUGACGAAUACUAAUCGAUCGAAGA